GACGAACGCUGGCGGCGUGCUUAACACAUGCAAGUCGAACGGAAAGGCCCUGCUUUUGUGGGGUGCUCGAGUGGCGAACGGGUGAGUAACACGUGAGUAACCUGCCCUUGACUUUGGGAUAACUUCAGGAAACUGGGGCAAAUACCGGAUAGGAGCUCCUGCUGCAUGGUGGGGGUUGGGAAGUUUCGGCGGUUGGGGAUGGACUCGCGGCUUAUCAGCUUGUUGGUGGGGUAGUGGCUUACCAAGGCUUUGACGGGUAGCCGGCCUGAGAGGGUGACCGGCCAUAUUGGGACUGAGAUGCGGCCCAGACUCCUACGGGAGGCAGCAGUGGGGAAUAUUGCAUAAUGGGCGGAAGCCUGAUGCAGCAACGCCGCGUGCGGGAUGACGGCCUUCGGGUUGUAAACCGCUUUCGCCUGUGACGAAGUGUGAGUGACGGUAAUGGGUAGAGAAGCACCGGCUAGCUACGUG
RNAcentral lists this ribosomal RNA (468 nucleotides) under uncultured bacterium. RNAcentral's name for it is "partial 16S ribosomal RNA". It matches the Rfam family "Bacterial small subunit ribosomal RNA", at positions 28 to 507 of the family's 1533-position model. The record is from RNAcentral.